AUACGGAGGAUCCGAGCGUUAUCCGGAUUUAUUGGGUUUAAAGGGAGCGUAGAUGGAUGUUUAAGUCUGAUGUGAAAGUUUGCGGCUCAACCGUAAAAUUGCAGUUGAUACUGGAUAUCUUGAGUUCAGUUGAGGCAGGCUGAAUUAGUGGUGUAGCGGAGCAAUGCUUAGAUAUCACGAAGAACUCCGAUUGCGAAGGCAGCCUGCUAAGCUGCAACUGACAUUGAGGCUCGAAAGUGUGGGUAUCAAACAGGAUUAGAUACCCUGGUAGUCCACACGGUAAACGAUGAAUACUCGCUGUUUGCGAUAUACAGUAAGCGGCCAAGCGAAAGCAUUAAGUAUUCCACCUGGGGAGUACGCCGGCAACGGUGAAACUCAAAUGAAUUGGCGGGG
This 393-nucleotide ribosomal RNA is filed under the name uncultured bacterium. RNAcentral's name for it is "partial 16S ribosomal RNA". It matches the Rfam family "Bacterial small subunit ribosomal RNA", at positions 523 to 918 of the family's 1533-position model. The record is from RNAcentral.